This 356-nucleotide ribosomal RNA is filed under the name uncultured Escherichia sp. RNAcentral describes it as "bacterial SSU rRNA". It matches the Rfam family "Bacterial small subunit ribosomal RNA", at positions 13 to 365 of the family's 1533-position model. The record is from RNAcentral. Lineage: Bacteria; Pseudomonadati; Pseudomonadota; Gammaproteobacteria; Enterobacterales; Enterobacteriaceae.
UUGAUCCUGGCUCAGAUUGAACGCUGGCGGCAGGCCUAACACAUGCAAGUCGAACGGUAACAGGAAGAAGCUUGCUUCUUUGCUGACGAGUGGCGGACGGGUGAGUAAUGUCUGGGAAACUGCCUGAUGGAGGGGGAUAACUACUGGAAACGGUAGCUAAUACCGCAUAACGUCGCAAAACCAAAGAGGGGGACCUUCGGGCCUCUUGCCAUCGGAUGUGCCCAGAUGGGAUUAGCUAGUAGGUGGGGUAACGGCUCACCUAGGCGACGAUCCCUAGCUGGUCUGAGAGGAUGACCAGCCACACUGGAACUGAGACACGGUCCAGACUCCUACGGGAGGCAGCAGAAGGGCGAAUU